UUUGUCAUUCAUUAAACAACUUAUAUUUACACUGGGGGCCGAAGCCAUUUACAAUGAAGAAAAAUGUAAAUCUUAGAAGCUAAAUAGGUAUAGGUGAAGGUGGAGGUGGAGAAGGGAAAGUGGGAAGAGCACGUACAAAAGGGAUUAUGGCUUGGGGACCAACUGCUUCAGAAGUCAAAUUGUCAUCCCAGCUUCAUUAUCUUCAAGCUCUAUUACAUGGCUGUCCUCUGCCGGAGUCUCAAGUUCUUCUUACUCCUAUUUCUUUAAAAAUUCUGACCUCAACUCGGUGGUGUUGAAAGUUGAGUGCACCUUAAUCCAUUCCACUACCUCGAUGUAUGCAAACCUUCUCCAAUACUUGGUGAAACACUGAUACUCCUUAGUUAAGUAAAAGUUGGCUAUUUACUACUUCACAACAUCAUUACCAGUAGAUUGGGCUUAUCCUGGAAAAUUCUAUCUCUUCAGUGAGGCAGUAAUACUGGAGUCAAUCUCUCCCACCCAUUACUUCAAUGCCGCAUUCUAUUUAUUUGACCUUUCCAAGGCCUCGACAGCCAAUUUCUAGUAAACAUCUAAAGUCUCCACUCGCUUCGUCAGGGAGUCACUUCACUUUGGGAUAAGUGGACUUCCUUCUUCAAAUUUUCUAUCUCUGCUAAAGCAGAAUUGAGCUUCACAGUCUCCUUGACUUAAGCUUUCUUGGUUGCUUUCUCAGCCUAGGAGGUCCUAUUCGAGAACUCCUUAUUCUUCUUUUGAAGGUUUUUAUAGAGGACUUCAGCCUUUUGGCUAUCCCAAACACACUCCUCCUUUGGCUUACCAUGGUGGCAAAAUUGUUAGCUGAAUCGCUGGACUCGAUGAAGAUCUUCCAUCUAUUCGUCCAAUACUUGUGGAAUGUGGCAGUAGUCGUUUGAACCUUUGGAGGAGGCAUGGAUAGAAACUAUGGAGCCAUCUCGUCGUUCCUCUUCAAAAAAGAGAGCUUUGUGUGAGGAGGUGCUGCACCCAAAGUCUCUAAGGUGUCACUGGACAUCUUUUCCUUCUUUGAAGACUUUUGCCUCG
This 1047-nucleotide long non-coding RNA is filed under the name Olea europaea subsp. europaea. The record is from RNAcentral. Lineage: Eukaryota; Viridiplantae; Streptophyta; Magnoliopsida; Lamiales; Oleaceae.